ACUAAAAAUACAAAAAUUAGCUGGGCGUGGUGGCGGGCGCCUGUAAUCCCACC
RNAcentral lists this non-coding RNA (53 nucleotides) under Homo sapiens (human). Lineage: Eukaryota; Metazoa; Chordata; Mammalia; Primates; Hominidae. The record is from RNAcentral.